GAGGGUAUAGCGCAAGUGGUAGAGCACAUGCUUAGCAUGCACAAGGUCCUGGGUGCAAUCCCCAGUACCUCCU
This is a transfer RNA of Camelus ferus (Wild Bactrian camel), 73 nucleotides long. It matches the Rfam family "tRNA". Rfam says of the family: Transfer RNA (tRNA) molecules are approximately 80 nucleotides in length. NCBI's taxonomy places the organism in Eukaryota, Metazoa, Chordata, Mammalia, Artiodactyla, Camelidae. The record is from Rfam.